This 714-nucleotide ribosomal RNA is filed under the name uncultured Alteromonas sp. RNAcentral's name for it is "bacterial SSU rRNA". It matches the Rfam family "Bacterial small subunit ribosomal RNA", at positions 8 to 719 of the family's 1533-position model. Lineage: Bacteria; Pseudomonadati; Pseudomonadota; Gammaproteobacteria; Alteromonadales; Alteromonadaceae. The record is from RNAcentral.
AGAGUUUGAUCCUGGCUCAGAUUGAACGCUGGCGGCAGGCCUAACACAUGCAAGUCGAACGGUAACAUUUCUAGCUUGCUAGAAGAUGACGAGUGGCGGACGGGUGAGUAAUGCUUGGGAACUUGCCUUUGCGAGGGGGAUAACAGUUGGAAACGACUGCUAAUACCGCAUAAUGUCUUCGGACCAAACGGGGCUUCGGCUCCGGCGCAAAGAGAGGCCCAAGUGAGAUUAGCUAGUUGGUAAGGUAACGGCUUACCAAGGCGACGAUCUCUAGCUGUUCUGAGAGGAAGAUCAGCCACACUGGGACUGAGACACGGCCCAGACUCCUACGGGAGGCAGCAGUGGGGAAUAUUGCACAAUGGGGGAAACCCUGAUGCAGCCAUGCCGCGUGUGUGAAGAAGGCCUUCGGGUUGUAAAGCACUUUCAGUUGUGAGGAAAAGUUAGUAGUUAAUACCUGCUAGCCGUGACGUUAACAACAGAAGAAGCACCGGCUAACUCCGUGCCGGCAGCCGCGGUAAUACGGAGGGUGCGAGCGUUAAUCGGAAUUACUGGGCGUAAAGCGCACGCAGGCGGUUUGUUAAGCUAGAUGUGAAAGCCCCGGGCUCAACCUGGGAUGGUCAUUUAGAACUGGCAGACUAGAGUCUUGGAGAGGGGAGUGGAAUUCCAGGUGUAGCGGUGAAAUGCGUAGAUAUCUGGAGGAACAUCAGUGGCGAA